Molecule: ribosomal RNA, 499 nt
Filed under: uncultured bacterium
Lineage: Bacteria
Description: partial 16S ribosomal RNA
Rfam family: Bacterial small subunit ribosomal RNA
Source: RNAcentral
GAUGAACGCUGGCGGCGUGCCUAAUACAUGCAAGUCGAGCGAACAGACGAGAGUGCUUGCACUCUCUGACGUUAGCGGCGGACGGGUGAGUAACACGUGGGUAACCUACCUAUAAGACUGGGAUAACUUUGGGAAACCGGAGCUAAUACCGGAUAAUAUUUAGCUUCGCAUGAAGCAAUAGUGAAAGACGGUUCUGCUGUCACUUAUAGAUGGACCCGCGGUGUAUUAGCUAGUUGGUGAGGUAACGGCUCACCAAGGCAACGAUACAUAGCCGACCUGAGAGGGUGAUCGGCCACACUGGGACUGAGACACGGACCAGACUCCUACGGGAGGCAGCAGUAGGGAAUCUUCCGCAAUGGACGAAAGUCUGACGGAGCAAUGCCGCGUGAGUGAAGAAGGUUUUCGGAUCGUAAAACUCUGUUGUAAGGGAAGAACAAGUACGUUAGUAACUGAACGUACCUUGACGGUACCUUACCAGAAAGCCACGGCUAACUACGUG